Molecule: transfer RNA, 71 nt
Filed under: Camelus bactrianus (Bactrian camel)
Lineage: Eukaryota; Metazoa; Chordata; Mammalia; Artiodactyla; Camelidae
Also listed under: 1 other name
Rfam family: tRNA
About the family: Transfer RNA (tRNA) molecules are approximately 80 nucleotides in length. Their secondary structure includes four short double-helical elements and three loops (D, anti-codon, and T loops).
Source: Rfam by way of RNAcentral
GGCGCAGUAGCUCAGUGGUAGAGUGCGUGCCUAACAUUCAUGAGGUCCUGGAUUCAACUCCAGUACCUCCA